Molecule: non-coding RNA, 450 nt
Organism: Podarcis lilfordi (Lilford's wall lizard)
Lineage: Eukaryota; Metazoa; Chordata; Lepidosauria; Squamata; Lacertidae
Source: the annotation of a GenBank genome assembly
GCCCUUUGUGAGUGGGCUGAGGUGGGGUUUGUGAUGGUGCUUUGUGAGAGGGCUGAGGUGGGGUUUGUGAUGGCCCUUUGUGAGUGGGCUGAGGUGGGGUUUGUGAUGGCCCUUUGUGAGUGGGCUGAGGUGGGGUUUGUGAUGGUGCUUUGUGAGAGGGCUCAAGUGGGGUUUUUGAUGGCCCUUUGUGAGUGGGCACAGGUGGGGUUUGUGACUCAAACCCUUAGGGUGAGUCCCCAGUAGCAUUUCAUCUUUCAGCCUUGUAGAUGUUAGCAUUUAUGGAACUGGACAAUAGCCCUUUAAAAAACACAGCCAGCUCCUCUGCAAAGGCAGGGCUAAUUACAGGACAGGGUUUGCCAACCUCAACCUCUUUGCUGAGACAACAUCCACCCAUUAACCACAAUCAAGAGAAAACUGCAGCCACUGGAGGUCCAGGACCUGUCCAUGGUC